Molecule: unclassified non-coding RNA, 353 nt
Filed under: soil metagenome
Description: partial contains 5.8S ribosomal RNA, internal transcribed spacer 2, and large subunit ribosomal RNA
Rfam family: 5.8S ribosomal RNA (bases 2-118)
Source: RNAcentral
GGAAGAACGUAGCGAAAUGCGAUAAGUAAUGUGAAUUGCAGAAUUCAGUGAAUCAUCGAAUCUUUGAACGCACAUUGCGCCCAUUAGUAUUCUAGUGGGCAUGCCUGUUCGAGCGUCAUUAAGUCCACUUAAGCCCUUCUUAGUGUUGGGAGACUGCUCCAGCGGUGCUACCCUGUAGCUACCCUGCAGCUCCUCAAAGACAGCGGCGGAGUUGUGGUAUCCUCUGAGCUUAGUAACUUGUUCUAGCUUUCGAGUACACCACUUCCCCUGCCGUAAAACCCUUAAUUUUUAAUGGUUGACCUCGGAUCAGGUAGGAAUACCCGCUGAACUUAAGCAUAUCAAUAAGCGGAGGA